This 222-nucleotide long non-coding RNA is filed under the name Carica papaya (papaya). Its description in RNAcentral is "long non-coding RNA (CPAP_LNC015910)". Lineage: Eukaryota; Viridiplantae; Streptophyta; Magnoliopsida; Brassicales; Caricaceae. The record is from RNAcentral.
UGCUCGGAAUUUGAUUCUGAGCAUGCCCAUGGCCAAAUUGGAGUAAAAAAAAUGGCAGUGGAGUCAAAAAUUGUAGGCAAAACCAGAAACCUCCUCCGAUGAUCCCCUUCCUGUUUCCCGUUUCAUGCAAUUUUUCUACUAUUGUGUUCAGCGUUCUAUUUACUAAUGGUUGAUUGAAGAAAAACGCCUAGCCGGUAGGGUGAGCCAACUGAGCCGCCGCAC